RNAcentral lists this ribosomal RNA (855 nucleotides) under Staphylococcus haemolyticus. RNAcentral's name for it is "bacterial SSU rRNA". It matches the Rfam family "Bacterial small subunit ribosomal RNA", at positions 36 to 877 of the family's 1533-position model. The record is from RNAcentral. Lineage: Bacteria; Bacillati; Bacillota; Bacilli; Caryophanales; Staphylococcaceae.
CGGACGGGUGCUAUAAUGCAGUCGAGCGAACAGAUAAGGAGCUUGCUCCUUUGACGUUAGCGGCGGACGGGUGAGUAACACGUGGGUAACCUACCUAUAAGACUGGGAUAACUUCGGGAAACCGGAGCUAAUACCGGAUAAUAUUUCGAACCGCAUGGUUCGAUAGUGAAAGAUGGUUUUGCUAUCACUUAUAGAUGGACCCGCGCCGUAUUAGCUAGUUGGUAAGGUAACGGCUUACCAAGGCGACGAUACGUAGCCGACCUGAGAGGGUGAUCGGCCACACUGGAACUGAGACACGGUCCAGACUCCUACGGGAGGCAGCAGUAGGGAAUCUUCCGCAAUGGGCGAAAGCCUGACGGAGCAACGCCGCGUGAGUGAUGAAGGUCUUCGGAUCGUAAAACUCUGUUAUUAGGGAAGAACAUACGUGUAAGUAACUGUGCACGUCUUGACGGUACCUAAUCAGAAAGCCACGGCUAACUACGUGCCAGCAGCCGCGGUAAUACGUAGGUGGCAAGCGUUAUCCGGAAUUAUUGGGCGUAAAGCGCGCGUAGGCGGUUUUUUAAGUCUGAUGUGAAAGCCCACGGCUCAACCGUGGAGGGUCAUUGGAAACUGGAAAACUUGAGUGCAGAAGAGGAAAGUGGAAUUCCAUGUGUAGCGGUGAAAUGCGCAGAGAUAUGGAGGAACACCAGUGGCGAAGGCGACUUUCUGGUCUGUAACUGACGCUGAUGUGCGAAAGCGUGGGGAUCAAACAGGAUUAGAUACCCUGGUAGUCCACGCCGUAAACGAUGAGUGCUAAGUGUUAGGGGGUUUCCGCCCCUUAGUGCUGCAGCUAACGCAUUAAGCACUCCGCCUGGG